GGGGCAUCGACUUCACUCCCAACCCCAAUGUGAACGUUACCAAUCUGUUGCCUCGGCGGGAUUCUCUUGCCCCGGGCGCGUCGCAGCCCCGGAUCCCAUGGCGCCCGCCGGAGGACCAACUCCAAACUCUUUUUUUCUCUCCGUCGCGGCUCCCGUCGCGGCUCUGUUUUAUUUUUGCUCUGAGCCUUUCUCGGCGACCCUAGCGGGCGUCUCGAAAAUGAAUCAAAACUUUCAACAACGGAUCUCUUGGUUCUGGCAUCGAUGAAGAACGCAGCGAAAUGCGAUAAGUAAUGUGAAUUGCAGAAUUCAGUGAAUCAUCGAAUCUUUGAACGCACAUUGCGCCCGCCAGUAUUCUGGCGGGCAUGCCUGUCCGAGCGUCAUUUCAACCCUCGAACCCCUCCGGGGGGUCGGCGUUGGGGAUCGGCCCCUCACCGGGCCGCCCCCGAAAUACAGUGGCGGUCUCGCCGCAGCCUCUCCUGCGCAGUAGUUUGCACACUCGCACCGGGAGCGCGGCGCGGCCACAGCCGUAAAACACCCCAAACUUCUGAAAUGUUGACCUCGGAUCAGGUAGGAAUACCCGCUGAACUUAAGCAUAUCAAA
RNAcentral lists this ribosomal RNA (600 nucleotides) under Trichoderma longibrachiatum. RNAcentral describes it as "eukaryotic LSU rRNA". The stretch from base 227 to 380 matches the Rfam family "5.8S ribosomal RNA". Lineage: Eukaryota; Fungi; Ascomycota; Sordariomycetes; Hypocreales; Hypocreaceae. The record is from RNAcentral.